GCCAUAUCUCAACAGAGGAAACCAUGAAGCAGGACCUCAGAUGCUAAGGACUUCCCAGAGGAGGGAGAGGAUUUUGUUAUUGUCUGAAGAAAAAGUUACCCUAGAUAACCUUCUGGUGUGUGGUAAGAGGAUCAAUAGCCAGGGGGAAAAUCCAAGUGGGCUAUCUGGCUCUGAACCAUCCUGAUGAACACCAGAGGCAGGCUUGAAAGAGCAAAGGCAGCACCAUAUGGCAGCCUCCCAGGAGCUGCUUUUCUUCUGCUGCAAAACGUCUGAAACAAGUGGAAGAAGAGCCCAAACAGGGCUUUGGAGUUGCACAGGCCUGAAUUUGACGUCUGACCACACUACUCGUGAGCUCUGGACCUGAGAGCAGGUUCGC
This is a long non-coding RNA of Bubalus bubalis (water buffalo), 376 nucleotides long. RefSeq lists it as uncharacterized. The transcript has 3 exons. The record is from RefSeq and is a predicted model, not a curated record. Lineage: Eukaryota; Metazoa; Chordata; Mammalia; Artiodactyla; Bovidae.